GCGAGACUCCGUGGGCGUAGGACCCUCCGAGCCAGGUGCGCGAUAUAAUCUCGUGGUGCGCCGUUUUUUAAGCCCGUCGGAAAAGCGCAGUAUUCGGGUGGGAGUGACCCGAUUUUCCAGGUGCCGUCCGUCACCCCUUUCUUUGACUGGGAAAGGGAACUCCCUGACCCCUUGGGCUUCCCAAGUGAGGCAAUGCUUCGCCCUGCUUCGGCUCGCACAAGGUGCGCGCACCCACUGACCUGCGCCCACUGUCUGGCACUCCCUAGUGAGAUGAACCCGGUACUUCAGAUGGAAAUGCAGAAAUCACCUGUCGUCUGCGUCGCUCACGCUGGGAGCUGUAGACCGGAGCUGUUCCUAUUCGGCCAUCUUGGCUCCUCGAUCCUGAAUUUUUGGGGCAAAGUCAAUCAGAGUGGUCCUGCCGAAGAGGAUUGUAUUUUUGUAUCUUCAGGAGUUUAUUGGCAUCAAAAUGAGGUAAAUAUGGAAUACAACGCAGCAAUAAAAAUGAAUCAACUAUUUGUACACAAAGCAAAACUCACGAAAAGAGCCAGACAAAAGGGUGAUUUCCAUGUAUUCUCAACAAAAAUACUCUGCUAGUGAUACAGCUCUAAUGAAUGGAGGAACACCAGGUUCUUGUCUCGCACGAUUUAGAUAAAACAACAUGGACACAUGUGGAGUGGAGCAGAGUUUAAUAAGCAAGAAAGAAAAGAGAAGGCAAAAGGAAGAGGCUCCCCAAUAAAGACACAGAGGGAGGGGGGCUCCAAAGCUAAAAGAGGAGACUCCACGUCCCACAGAUACCAGCCAGGUAUAAGAAGAGGCUGGAGGAGGCGGUGUUGGAUUUGCAUAGGACUCAGGGGAUUGCUUUGACCAGGCCUGUUUUUCACAUAGCUUCUAAAAAACUAGCCCUCCCACCCUAGCCUUUUAAUAUACAAACACAAGGCACCAUGAUGUUUUACAUAUGUGGGGAUAUGUGGGGACAGCCAUGUUGCCAGGCACAUGUGGGGCAAGGGCAAGAAGGCCAUGGGAAUUGCCAUUUUUGGGUGGACCCAGUCUCUAAUGGCCGACAUUCGCCUAUUAAAGGUUGCCUCCAUGGCUUUAAGAGCCUGGACUUUGCUUCUAGACAAGAAACGUUUUUGGAGCUGCUUUAAAAGAAACCAAAACGUUUCCUCUUUAUCUGCCUAAAAUAAUUUCUUAAAAACUCCUACCACAGUAAUUAUAAAAAGUCUUGGCCGGGUGUGGUGGCUCAUGCCUGUAAUCCCAGCACUUUGGGAGGCUAAGGUGGGCAGAUCACGAAAUCAAGAGAUGGAGACCAUCCUGGCCAGCAUGGUGAAAGCCCGUCUCUACUAAAAAUACAAAAAUUAGCUGGGCCGUGGUGGUGCAUGCCUGUAGUCCCAGCUACUUGGGAGGCUGAGGCAGGAGAAUUGCUUGAACCUGGGAGGCAGAGGUUGAAGUGAGCCGAGAUCACGCCACUGCACUCCAGCCUGGUGACACAGUGAGACUCUGUCUCAAAAAAAAUAAAAUAAAAUAAAAAAGUUUUGUUAUUUGAUAGAUCAAGACCUCUCACCUUGUUUUGUUCAAAAACUUG
RNAcentral lists this long non-coding RNA (1582 nucleotides) under Homo sapiens (human). RNAcentral describes it as "HSALNT0118978". Lineage: Eukaryota; Metazoa; Chordata; Mammalia; Primates; Hominidae. The record is from RNAcentral.